AACAUCGCGCACCUGCGGGAACCUGCGGAGGGAUCAUUACAGAGUUGCAAAACUCCCUAAACCAUUGUGAACGUUACCUAAACCGUUGCUUCGGCGGGCGGCCCGGGUCCUUCCCGGCGCCCAUCGGCCCUCGCGGGCGCCCGCCGGAGGUAAACCAAACUAUUGCAUUGUAUGGCCUCUCUGAGUCUUCUGUACUGAAUAAGUCAAAACUUUCAGCAACGGAUAUCAGAUCGGAAGAGC
RNAcentral lists this unclassified non-coding RNA (240 nucleotides) under soil metagenome. Its description in RNAcentral is "partial contains 5.8S ribosomal RNA, internal transcribed spacer 2, and large subunit ribosomal RNA". The record is from RNAcentral.